Molecule: ribosomal RNA, 439 nt
Filed under: uncultured bacterium
Lineage: Bacteria
Description: partial 16S ribosomal RNA
Rfam family: Bacterial small subunit ribosomal RNA
Source: RNAcentral
CUACGGGGUGCAGCAGUGGGGAAUAUUGCACAAUGGGGGGAACCCUGAUGCAGCAACGCCGCGUGGAGGAUGACACAUUUCGGUGCGUAAACUCCUUUUAUAUAAGAAGAUAAUGACGGUAUUAUAUGAAUAAGCACCGGCUAACUCCGUGCCAGCAGCCGCGGUAAUACGGGGGGUGCAAGCGUUACUCGGAAUCACUGGGCGUAAAGAGCAUGUAGGCUGGUUUGUAAGUUGGAAGUGAAAUCCUAUGGCUUAACCAUAGAACUGCUUCCAAAACUACUUACCUAGAGUAUGGGAGAGGUAGAUGGAAUUUCUGGUGUAGGGGUAAUAUCCGUAGAGAUCAGAAGGAAUACCGAUUGCGAAGGCGAUCUACUGGAACAUUACUGACGCUCAGAUGCGAAAGCGUGGGGAGCAAACAGGAUUAGAUACCCGCGUAGUC